Molecule: ribosomal RNA, 491 nt
Filed under: uncultured bacterium
Lineage: Bacteria
Description: partial 16S ribosomal RNA
Rfam family: Bacterial small subunit ribosomal RNA
Source: RNAcentral
AGUGAACGCUGGCGGUAGGCCUAACACAUGCAAGUCGAACGGCAGCACAGUAAGAGCUUGCUCUUACGGGUGGCGAGUGGCGGACGGGUGAGGAAUACAUCGGAAUCUACUUUUUCGUGGGGGAUAACGUAGGGAAACUUACGCUAAUACCGCAUACGACCUACGGGUGAAAGCAGGGGAUCUUCGGACCUUGCGCGAUUGAAUGAGCCGAUGUCGGAUUAGCUAGUUGGCGGGGUAAAGGCCCACCAAGGGGACGAUCCGUAGCUGGUCUGAGGGGAGGUAGCGGCCCUGUGAAGGUGAGACACCGCACAGGCACUGAGGGGGGGCACAGGGGGGGACUGUUGGAAAAGGGGGGGAAGCUUGAACCAGGCAUGGCGGCGGGGUGAAGAAGCGCCUCGGGUUGGAAACCCCUUUUUUGGGUAAAAAAAGCUUGCGGUUUAAACCCCGCGUGUUUGACGGUAACCAAAAAAAAAGCACCGGCUAACUUCGUG